GGCGUGGCCGGCAUGGUGAUGUCCGCGCUCUCCGCGCCGAUCUACGCCCGCUCGCUGUUCGACGCGGCGCUGCGCCGC
This 78-nucleotide transfer RNA is filed under the name Streptomyces paromomycinus. RNAcentral's name for it is "tRNA-Glu". RNAcentral also lists the same sequence under 1 other name. The record is from RNAcentral. Lineage: Bacteria; Bacillati; Actinomycetota; Actinomycetes; Kitasatosporales; Streptomycetaceae.